UACGGAGGAUGCAAGCGUUAUCCGGAUUCAUUGGGUUUAAAGGGUGCGUAGGCUGUCUAUUAAGUCAGUGGUGAAAUCCUGCAGCUUAACUGCAGAACUGCCGUUGAUACUGAUAGUCUUGAGUUUGGUUAAGGUAGGCGGAAUGUGUAAUGUAGUGGUGAAAUGCUUAGAUAUUACACAGAACACCAAUUGCGUAGGCAGCUUACUGAGCCGACACUGACGCUGAGGCACGAAAGCGUGGGGAUCAAACA
Molecule: ribosomal RNA, 251 nt
Filed under: uncultured prokaryote
Description: partial 16S ribosomal RNA
Rfam family: Bacterial small subunit ribosomal RNA
Source: RNAcentral